RNAcentral lists this ribosomal RNA (467 nucleotides) under uncultured bacterium. RNAcentral describes it as "partial 16S ribosomal RNA". It matches the Rfam family "Bacterial small subunit ribosomal RNA", at positions 28 to 507 of the family's 1533-position model. The record is from RNAcentral.
GACGAACGCUGGCGGCGUGCUUAACACAUGCAAGUCGAACGGAAAGGCCUCUUUCGGGGGGUACUCGAGUGGCGAACGGGUGAGUAACACGUGAGUAACCUGCCCUUGACUUUGGGAUAACUUCAGGAAACUGGGGCUAAUACCGGAUAGGAGCUCCUGCUGCAUGGUGGGGGUUGGAAAGUUUCGGCGGUUGGGGAUGGGCUCGCGGCUUAUCAGCUUGUUGGUGGGGUAGUGGCUUACCAAGGCUUUGACGGGUAGCCGGCCUGAGAGGGUGACCGGCCACAUUGGGACUGAGAUACGGCCCAGACUCCUACGGGAGGCAGCAGUGGGGAAUAUUGCACAAUGGGUGGAAGCCUGAUGCAGCAACGCCGUGUGCGGGAUGACGGCCUUCGGGUUGUAAACCGCUCUCGCUCAUGACGAAGCUUUGUGUGACGGUAGUGGGUAAAGAAGCACCGGCUAACUACGUG